UACGUAGGGCGCAAGCGUUAUCCGGAAUUAUUGGGCGUAAAGGGCUCGUAGGCGGUUUGUCGCGUCGGGAGUGAAAACACCGGGCUUAACUCGGUGCUUGCUUUCGAUACGGGCAGACUAGAGGUAUGCAGGGGAGAACGGAAUUCCUGGUGUAGCGGUGAAAUGCGCAGAUAUCAGGAGGAACACCGGUGGCGAAGGCGGUUCUCUGGGCAUUACCUGACGCUGAGGAGCGAAAGUGUGGGGAGCGAACAGG
RNAcentral lists this ribosomal RNA (253 nucleotides) under uncultured bacterium. Its description in RNAcentral is "partial 16S ribosomal RNA". It matches the Rfam family "Bacterial small subunit ribosomal RNA", at positions 524 to 776 of the family's 1533-position model. The record is from RNAcentral.